Molecule: non-coding RNA, 150 nt
Filed under: Paraburkholderia sp. BL9I2N2
Lineage: Bacteria; Pseudomonadati; Pseudomonadota; Betaproteobacteria; Burkholderiales; Burkholderiaceae
Source: RNAcentral
CCUGCUGUACGACCAGCAGUUGCCUACGCGGACGUGCGCGACUGGUAACGGUCGGGUUCGAAGCUUCGGGGACAACGUACCCGCCUUACGGGCGAUUCACUCGGGUGACGGGAGGGAAUCGACACUGCCAGCAGCCGCGCGGUGUCGGGG